Molecule: transfer RNA, 72 nt
Organism: Desulfosporosinus youngiae DSM 17734
Lineage: Bacteria; Bacillati; Bacillota; Clostridia; Eubacteriales; Desulfitobacteriaceae
Rfam family: tRNA
About the family: Transfer RNA (tRNA) molecules are approximately 80 nucleotides in length.
Source: Rfam
GGGCGAUUAGCUCAGCGGUAGAGCGCAUCCUUCACACGGAUGAGGCCACUGGUUCGAGACCAGUAUCGCCCA